CCUGGCUCAGGACGAACGCUGGCGGCGUGCCUAAUACAUGCAAGUCGAGCGGACCUUUCAAAAGCUUGCUUUUGGAAGAUCAGCGGCGGACGGGUGAGUAACACGUGGGCAACCUGCCUGUGAGACUGGGAUAACUUCGGGAAACCGGAGCUAAUACCGGAUAAUAUAAGGAACCUCCUGGUUCUUUAUUGAAAGAUGGUUUCGGCUAUCACUCACAGAUGGGCCCGCGGCGCAUUAGCUAGUUGGUGAGGUAACGGCUCACCAAGGCGACGAUGCGUAGCCGACCUGAGAGGGUGAUCGGCCACACUGGGACUGAGACACGGCCCAGACUCCUACGGGAGGCAGCAGUAGGGAAUCUUCCACAAUGGACGAAAGUCUGAUGGAGCAACGCCGCGUGAGCGAUGAAGGCCUUCGGGUCGUAAAGCUCUGUUGUUAGGGAAGAACAAGUGCGAGAGUAACUGCUCGCACCUUGACGGUACCUAACCAGAAAGCCACGGCUAACUACGUGCCAGCAGCCGCGGUAAUACGUAGGUGGCAAGCGUUGUCCGGAAUUAUUGGGCGUAAAGCGCGCGCAGGUGGUCCUUUAAGUCUGAUGUGAAAGCCCACGGCUCAACCGUGGAGGGUCAUUGGAAACUGGGGGACUUGAGUGCAGAAGAGGAAAGUGGAAUUCCAAGUGUAGCGGUGAAAUGCGUAGAGAUUUGGAGGAACACCAGUGGCGAAGGCGACUUUCUGGUCUGUAACUGACACUGAGGCGCGAAAGCGUGGGGAGCAAACAGGAUUAGAUACCCUGGUAGUCCACGCCGUAAACGAUGAGUGCUAAGUGUUAGAGGGUUUCCGCCCUUUAGUGCUGCAGCUAACGCAUUAAGCA
RNAcentral lists this ribosomal RNA (868 nucleotides) under Bacillus sp. (in: firmicutes). RNAcentral's name for it is "bacterial SSU rRNA". It matches the Rfam family "Bacterial small subunit ribosomal RNA", at positions 18 to 866 of the family's 1533-position model. The record is from RNAcentral. Lineage: Bacteria; Bacillati; Bacillota; Bacilli; Caryophanales; Bacillaceae.